AUACGUAGGGGGCAAGCGUUGUCCGGAAUUACUGGGCGUAAAGCGCGCGCAGGUGGCUUGUUGAGUCAGGUGUCAAAAUGCGGAGCUCAACUCCGCAGCGCACUUGAAACUGGCAGGCUUGAGUGCAGGAGAGGAAAGUGGAAUUCCUAGUGUAGCGGUGAAAUGCGUAGAUAUUAGGAGGAACACCAGUGGCGAAGGCGACUUUCUGGACUGCAACUGACACUGAGGCGCGAAAGCUAGGGGAGCAAACAGGAUUAGAUACCCUGGUAGUCCUAGCCGUAAACGAUGGGUACUAGGUGUUGGGGGUGACAAUCCUCCAGUGCCGCAGUUAACGCAUUAAGUACCCCGCCUGGGGACUACGGCCGCAAGGCUGAA
RNAcentral lists this ribosomal RNA (375 nucleotides) under uncultured bacterium. Its description in RNAcentral is "bacterial SSU rRNA". It matches the Rfam family "Bacterial small subunit ribosomal RNA", at positions 523 to 898 of the family's 1533-position model. The record is from RNAcentral.